AAUACAAAUUCAGAUAAGUGAUACAGUGAUAUGAUGUUAU
RNAcentral lists this non-coding RNA (40 nucleotides) under Trypanosoma brucei brucei. Lineage: Eukaryota; Euglenozoa; Kinetoplastea; Trypanosomatida; Trypanosomatidae. The record is from RNAcentral.